UGGGGAAUAUUGCACAAUGGGCGAAAGCCUGAUGCAGCAACGCCGCGUGAGUGAUGAAGGCCUUCGGGUUGUAAAGCUCUGUCUUCUGGGACGAUAAUGACGGUACCAGAGGAGGAAGCCACGGCUAACUACGUGCCAGCAGCCGCGGUAAUACGUAGGGUGCAAGCGUUGUCCGGAAUUAUUGGGCGUAAAGAGCUCGUAGGCGGUUUGUCGCGUCUGCUGUGAAAACCCGAGGCUCAACCUCGGGCCUGCAGUGGGUACGGGCAAACUAGAGUGCGGUAGGGGAGAUUGGAAUUCCUGGUGUAGCGGUGGAAUGCGCAGAUAUCAGGAGGAACACCGAUGGCGAAGGCAGAUCUCUGGGCCGUAACUGACGCUGAGGAGCGAAAGCAUGGGGAGCGAACA
Molecule: ribosomal RNA, 402 nt
Filed under: uncultured bacterium
Lineage: Bacteria
Description: bacterial SSU rRNA
Rfam family: Bacterial small subunit ribosomal RNA
Source: RNAcentral